Molecule: ribosomal RNA, 1626 nt
Filed under: metagenome
Description: bacterial LSU rRNA
Rfam family: Bacterial large subunit ribosomal RNA
Source: RNAcentral
UAUGAGUAGCGAAAGAGGGGUGAGAAUCCCCUCCACCGAAUGCCUAAGGUUUCCUGAGGAAGGCUCGUCCGCUCAGGGUUAGUCGGGACCUAAGCCGAGGCCGAAAGGCGUAGGCGAUGGACAACAGGUUGAUAUUCCUGUACCACCUCCUCACCAUUUGAGCAAUGGGGGGACGCAGGAGGAUAGGGUAAGCGCGGUAUUGGAUAUCCGCGUCCAAGCAGUUAGGCUGGGAAAUAGGCAAAUCCGUUUCCCAUAAGGCUGAGCUGUGAUGGCGAGCGAAAUAUAGUAGCGAAGUUCCUGAUUCCACACUGCCAAGAAAAGCCUCUAGCGAGGUGAGAGGUGCCCGUACCGCAAACCGACACAGGUAGGCGAGGAGAGAAUCCUAAGGUGAUCGAGAGAACUCUCGUUAAGGAACUCGGCAAAAUGACCCCGUAACUUCGGGAGAAGGGGUGCUCUGUUAGGGUGCAAGCCCGAGAGAGCCGCAGUGAAUAGGCCCAGGCGACUGUUUAGCAAAAACACAGGUCUCUGCGAAGCCGUAAGGCGAAGUAUAGGGGCUGACGCCUGCCCGGUGCUGGAAGGUUAAGAGGAGCGCUUAGCGUAAGCGAAGGUGCGAAUUGAAGCCCCAGUAAACGGCGGCCGUAACGAUAACGGUCCUAAGGUAACGAAAUUCCUUGUCGGGUAAGUUCCGACCCGCACGAAAGGCGCAACGAUCUGGGCACUGUCUCAACGAGAGACUCGGUGAAAUUAUAGUACCUGUGAAGAUGCAGGUUACCCGCGACAGGACGGAAAGACCCCGUGGAGCUUUACUGCAGCCUGAUAUUGAAUGUUGGUACAGCUUGUACAGGAUAGGUAGGAGCCUUGGAAACCGGAGCGCCAGCUUCGGUGGAGGCAUCGGUGGGAUACUACCCUGGCUGUAUUGACCUUCUAACCCGCCGCCCUUAUCGGGCGGGGAGACAGUGUCAGGUGGGCAGUUUGACUGGGGCGGUCGCCUCCUAAAAGGUAACGGAGGCGCCCAAAGGUUCCCUCAGAAUGGUUGGAAAUCAUUCGCAGAGUGUAAAGGCACAAGGGAGCUUGACUGCGAGACCUACAAGUCGAGCAGGGACGAAAGUCGGGCUUAGUGAUCCGGUGGUUCCGCAUGGAAGGGCCAUCGCUCAACGGAUAAAAGCUACCCCGGGGAUAACAGGCUUAUCUCCCCCAAGAGUCCGCAUCGACGGGGAGGUUUGGCACCUCGAUGUCGGCUCAUCGCAUCCUGGGGCUGUAGUCGGUCCCAAGGGUUGGGCUGUUCGCCCAUUAAAGCGGUACGCGAGCUGGGUUCAGAACGUCGUGAGACAGUUCGGUCCCUAUCCGUCGCGGGCGCAGGAAAUUUGAGAGGAGCUGUCCUUAGUACGAGAGGACCGGGAUGGACGCACCGCUGGUGUACCAGUUGUUCUGCCAAGGGCGUCGCUGGGUAGCUAUGUGCGGACGGGAUAAGUGCUGAAAGCAUCUAAGCAUGAAGCCCCCCUCAAGAUGAGAUUUCCCAUUCCGCAAGGAAGUAAGAUCCCUGAAAGAUGAUCAGGUUGAUAGGUCUGAGGUGGAAGUGUGGCGACACAUGGAGCUGACAGAUACUAAUCGAUCGAGGACUUAACC